GCAACAUGCUACCUAUUUCUUUUUCAUUUUCUAGCGUGUCAAACAUCCUAAAUUGAACAUGUCAUAAAACUUCAAAGUUCAAUAACUAAUAUAGCUACAAUUCAAUAACUAAUCAACGUGAAACCCUAGCCCUCUCCUGAAAAAAAAAAAAAAAAAAAAAAAAAAAAAAAAAAAAAAAAAAAAAAAACCUCUCUAGCCGCACUAACCUUGAGGGGGGAAGAGGUCACUGUUCCUCCUCCUCAUCCCAUCUCCUCUCUGCUUUGACACACAAAUCCCCUUCCCCUACUUUUCCCUCUCAUCUCCUUCCCAACCUUGUCCCCUCACCUCACUUCCUUCUUACUCUCUCUCUCUCUCUCUCUCUCUCUCUCUCUCUCUCUCUACAUGGUUGCCUUUGUUAGUUUUGUUUGGUUGUUUUGCAGAUCUCGGGUUCCAGCUCUUGAUUUACUUUGUGUGUUUUAGUUUUUAUCUGUAAUAAGUGCUUCAACUCUUUUUGAGUUUGUUGCGUGUUCAUAGUAUCUACUUGUAAUUUUUUACUUGUAAGAGUUUAAAGAUUAUAGUUUGCUGUUGUAGUUUUGUGCAUUGUGGUCUAUGCCUGACUUUUGCAGGCUUGCGACUUUUAUGUCGGAAUUUCUUUGGCCCUCUAUCGCUCUUUGUGGAGGUACACUUGUGCGCAUGAUGUUUCCGGUGGAGUCCUCUGUAUUUAAAUUAACCCCUUGUGGUUAUUGAGCUUCCGUAUUUAUAAUAACCUUAAGUGGUUAUUUGUAUUUGUACUGGCUCUUAUGGUUGGCCUUUGUGCCUUAAUUAUAGAUGCAAUCUAUCGUUUUUAUUUGAAAAAUAUCAAUAACUUCAAGGUUCCAACAAACUUCAAAUUCAACAUCCAUAUGUAAAUAUUAUCCAAUUAGAUGACUUCACAUGUAUAAUAAAAUAAAUAUAUAUAUACACACACACACACACACAAGUAGGCAAUCGAGUUCAGUUUAGGCCGGUUUGCAGCAAAAGUUCAAAACCAAAUUAUUUAUAGUCCGAUUUAUUUUUUAAACCGUUAAAUUUUUUCUUGAUUAAAACCAAACCAAACCGAUAAUUAUAAUUUAAAUAAAACGGUUUAAUCGAUUUGACCGGAUUGAUUCCCACCACUAUCAUAAAUAUAAGAUAAAAAUAUACUUAAUUACACGUAACCCCAUCCUUCAUUAUUGUGCAGCAUAUCAUUAUCCCACGUUUGAGAAAAAUCAGCCCCGAUUGCCAGAAAUAUCAAAGGCAUCUAGAUCCUAGAGGAUGAUAUUUAAAGUUUAAACAAAUAUUCUACAAUACAUGUAGAAGAAAUACCCACUUGAGCUAGUAACACAACAGCAUAAGCUCUUUUCCGUUGGAUAUCUUACAUUCUAGAUCACUUAUCCCACCAUUCCAAAAUUCUUCGUUAUUGUUCACUAGAAACAUUGACUUCCCUAGUUUGCUGGAUUUUCUCUCUCUUUUCAUUCUUCCUAACACGAUUUUCUUCUCCCUUCAUAAAACUAUAUGUACGCUGUCUCACCCUCUAUGAUCACAUCAACAUCAUAUUGCCAACUUUCUUUAUCAACAUAAUGUUUCCAAGUUGAUCAAAUAAUAGGACUAAAUUGUUCGGGUUGAAUGGUUUGAUCAGAUUGACCCAAAAUUGUACCCACCCCCACCUUCCACUCCAGAUCUAGAUUUUUUCUAUUUCUUAUUCUUCUACUCAUCUAAGCCCCUUCUUCUAGCUCCAUGCACUCACCCAUAACCUACCUAGCUGCCAUUUACCAUGCAUUGCUGUGCUAUUUAAGACUCUACCUUUCUUCAUCUGAAGAGGUCGAGAGUAAAUGAACAACACAUUUUGAAAAUCUAGCAAAAAGUACAAAAAUGCAAAUUCACCAAUAACCAGUUUUCUCCCAACCAUGUUUAUUAGCUUUUGUCCCUUCAUUUCAAAACCACAACACAACAGAGUCAUGCAUGUCAAUAGGUCAAAACAAGACAGCUUUUAAUAACUUGGCACACCAAAGAAUUUGGUUAGUUUACUUUUCUAACUAUAGCAUGAUGAAAUUCUUACAUACAACUGGUGUAUACUAACUAUUCAAAGUAUUAUCGUUAUAUUUAAAUUCAUAAGUCUCUGAUAUUAUCUAAUUAAUUUAAAAAAUCUCGAACUUAAUAAAGUCAUACAAAUAUUAAUUUAAAAGAUCUCGAAGAUCUCAAACUUUAUAGAAUCAUACAAAUGUUCCUCUCGCGAUAAUUAAUCAUGUGACAAUUACAUAAAAGGAUGAAUGGAAGAGAGGUGUUGCAUGCGCACCUCACCUCAUAUGCAAGAAUUUUUCCGAGUAGAGUAAUCAAGAAAUUAAUGAGAAAUGAACACGUUGCGUUGCCACCUUGAUUGUGUGAGUUGGUGAAUUACUUGAAACAUCUCUGUCCACCAUCUCCCUGUCUCAUCACAGCAUAAGUACAUUUCAAUAACAUGUAUUUGACAACUAACUAUAAGCCUCUAUUGACUUUCCCACAAGUUCAAAAAUCUCAUGUCAUAAAUAUCUCUGACUUUCAAUGCGUUCAAAACUAUGCGAAAAUGUUGACUUUGAAUAAGUAAGCAGUGGACAUGUGUCCGUCGUGUCGCUUUUGAUGUCGUGGAUGAUGGAACUGGGAAAAUGAUAAGUCCAUUUUUGUGGAUAUGAUUGUAGUCUAGUUUCCUAAUUACGUCUGAAUGUUUGUUGUUCCAAAAUUGAAAAUACAUGCAUGGUGGAAAAUUCUAGCUAGGAAAGGGAACCCUCUUGGUUUUCGUUUCCCACUCUUCAAAUUCUUGGUUCAGUUGAUGACUUUACUUGAUGAAUAUUUGCUUUUGCUCCAUGUCCUUCUCUCUAGAGCGCUGAAGUAGAAAAAAAAUGGAUACAAGACCGCGAUAUGUUCAACUUUGGAAGGCUAGGUUUUUGGUGAGUUUGAAUUUAGGGGAAGAGAUUAAGAAAAGAAGACAGAGAUUUUGGAGUGAGGAAGUGGGAAUUGUGGAAAUGAGCUUUCAUUGAAUAUAGGCGAUUCCGAAUCCGACAAAUAGGAUGGAGACAAGAAGAGAACGAAACCUCCUAAAUCUACUUCAGAAAAAUUAAAUGAAUAGAGUCACCAAUGAGGCACUACUGCUAUGCGAUGACGUAUUUAGAUUAAAGGAAUGCAAAUAUGAGAUCAUUGAGUUUGUAUCAAAAUACAAAUUUUCAUUAAGUUUAUUUUAAAAUACAAAUAUUUGAUAUUGCGUAGUCAUUUAUCCAAUGUGAGAUAAUUCAGGAGAUAGUUUAUACAAUACCUAAGAAGAUGAUCAUAGGAAGAGCCACCUUGAAGUACAUAAUAAAAUGGAUCGAAACUCAUCCAAACUUAGCUUUAGACAAUCAACCAAGCGACAGUGAGGUACUGGCAGACAAUUUUUGUUUUGCUACCAACAUCUUUAAAGUAACUUAUUUUAUUUGUAACGUUCUAAUUUUAUCGGAUAUUUAAAAAUGCUUCCAUUUUUAUUUUUUAUAAAAAAAAUUCAAAAUAAUGAUCCUAAAGGACAGGGGAAAAACAAAGGUGACCUACUCUCAAUCAUGAUUGAUGCCAACUAUUGAUUUAUAGUUGUUUAGUAUUUUUAGUUGGGCGAAUGGUGAAUGCAUGUACAGAAAACAUAAACUGGUUUUCCUUUGGCAUACUCAUUUUUAAAUGUUUGAGAGGAAUAUUGCAUGAACUUGGCCUCUUUUUCUGAGCUCAAAGUCAGUUAUGGGCACAUACUAGAUUAAAAAACCAAUCCGCAUUCAAAAGUUGUUCUGAUAGCAAACUUGAAAGAGGGUAAGGCAAUACCUAGUUAAAGUCCAAAAAAUAAUACAGUUGACAUUGCCUAGUACCCUACCCAAUGAUCAAGAAUGUCUUUCCAGGCCAUAGAGGAUUUGUUUUUUUUCCUUUUUUUCUUUUUUGAGUAAGAAAAGAAAGUAGAGCUUCUAAAAUAUUUAGUUCUCUGCAAGGGACUCAAGCAAUUAAGAUCAGUUACCCUUGCAAUUAAGGUCUUGGGUUCAGCCUCUAGGGUUCUAAUAGGUAUAGGAUAUAGGUUUUUUUGUUCUUUCCCUUGUUUCUUUUUGUACUUUUGGUUACUAAGGAGGUAGGAAGGGAAAGGGAGCCUGGUGUUAUAUAUGCUCUCCACCAUUUAAACUAAACCCCCAUUAAGCAUUAGAAUUUAAUCAAAUAGUUUCCAAAUGACCCCUUUUUCCUUUUUUCUUCCUCGUUCAUUUUAUAUAUUUUGCUCUAUUUGUGCACAUUGCUUAGAGAUGCACAAGGCUUGGGCUUGGAUAAGGUUUUGAGAAUGCUUGCAGACAGCCCAAAAGGCAUAUUUGCUUUAGGACCAGGCAGGCAAGAUCGAGUAAAAUUGUACACCAGUAUUAACUCUAAAACAAAAACGAAAAAACAUUGUAAGAUGGUAUGUCAUUCACCCAAAUCUCAAAGCCAUCUUAUUUUAGUUGAACAUAGCUUGUUUAGUUGUUAUUUUUGGAUGUGGUAACAAUUUAUUUCUUAUAAUCAAAGGGCCGUAUGCUGUGGUAAAUGUUGUUCUGUCUUUUUUUCAUUUUUUUUAAUACAGACAAUAGUCUAAACUACAGAAAUAGGAAUUUCACACACACAUACACACAACCUCUGAUAUGUAAGUCAAAACCCUUUUUUAUUGGGCUAGACCCCGUUGGCAACGUUGUUCUAUCUUAAUUUGGUUGCUUGUGGGCACAUUUCAACGUUGCCAACUUUCACUUGAUCUGUUUGUGGGGUGUUCGGUGUUUGCAUCUUUCUUUCUACUUUGUAAUUUCUUUCCAUUGAAGAACAUGCUCUGAGCAAAUAUGCCUGUGUUCCAGUCAGUUCAAGGAAUGAAAGUUGUGUGUCAUGAGCUGGUACAGUCGACCGAUGAUCCGCAACGCAGUGCUAGAGAUGAGUUAGUGAGGGAUGCAGAUAGACUUGUUUCUCGCUUAGCAGAUAAGGUAGCCAAGACUUUUGAGUUCAGUUUGACAGGAGCUUCAUCUAGGUCUUGUAAAUACGUCCUGAAACACUCUUAUGCAGAAAUUUCAAAAUAAUUACUAACACUAACAUAAAAUCAAUAGGGCAUAUUUAACAGCAAUUCAUUUUGCAGAAAAAGAACAGAAAAUAUUGAUCCAAUUUCAAAAACCUUGAGAGCUACAAUAGCCUCUAUACACAUACUUGAGACCUAUAUUACAAGUUAGCACCUGAGGAUUCUGAUUACGCGACGAGUAAAACCCAAAUGAAGAUUCAAUCCUCAAGCCAAAAACACAUGGAAUCAAUAGGCUUAAACCACCAGAGGAAUUUACCUCAAUAUACUAACCGCUGUCAUGGAUCAUGGAUUAUCUGUUGUACAUUCCAUACCUUACACUCACACUCCUCAACUGCAAAAGAUUUUAUACCAUUUAAACAGCUGCAAGAUUGUUAUGGACAUAGUAAAACGCCUGACACAUCUAGCCUUUCUUUCUUUAAAAGUUCUACACAUCUAACCUUCACUGUAGACCUGGAUAAUUGGUCAUAGUUAUGGACAUAAUAAAAUGCCUCACUACAUGGAAAUGCAUUGCUAAUUUGUUAUCAAAAUCAAAAAAUUUAAUAACUCAUAUUCAUAUUUACCUUUACAAUGCUCUUGUAUCAUUCACACUUUGUAGUAACAUUGUACUGCUUGAGUGCUUCUGAAGUUUCUAAGAUUUUCUUACAGAAAGCAGGACUUUUUAUCUAAGAUUUUCUAAGAUAUCUUUGGUACAAAUUGUGUACAAAUCGUUGAAAUUAAAUUAUUUUUUUUUAAACACUUCUAAUAUAAUAUAUUAUGCAACCUGGAGUUAGUGAACAUAUGCAUCAAAAUGUUCUUAAAUCAACCGCCUCGUUUUAGCCUCUUUAUUCUCUCAAGGGCGCCAAGGUGGGUGUCACCAUCCUUGGUCGCAGCAGCAACAUCUCCACCCUCAUCUUUUUCAGCCUCCUUUCUCUUGUUAGCCAACUCUCCAAAAACAGCAGAUGGGACCUCCUUUAGUGCAAUUUCAACCAUUUCAUCAUCUUCUGAAUCACUUUCUUCCAGUAGCUUAAUUUCUUCAUGAAUUGCAGUAACUUUGAUCUCUUUGUCCAUCUGUGAUUCUACUCCAGCACUCACAAAGCCCACUUUUCUGUUACUAUCUUUGGUGGUAGUGUCUUUAGCCACAGGUGCCAACUGCCUCUCUAAAGCAGCCAUUUCAUCUUCAGGGACUCCAGCCUGUUUCAACUUGUGUUUUGCCUCAUCAAUGUUCAACCUCUGAUCCUUUUGCAUCAUAUACUCGGGUAGAAUAAAGUGUGUCUGGCUAUAGCUUGCAGAAACACUUCGCUUAAUUUGAAGCAUCUCUCGGAAGGUAUCUUCAUUUCCAUGUUGCACCUCAAACUCAUGCCAUUUGUUCCAGAAAUCUACAUCAGAUCGUGGAUCCGAAAACUGUGAUGCAAAUAUAUAUACUCCCCGAGCACGAUCAAUUUCUCCCAAGCUCUUCUCAAGCUCAGUAUACUUCAAACACAUUGUCUUCACAUCUUUGUCUGGAAGACCGGAUUUUAUUGCUUGCUCAUAUAUUUCCCUUGUUUUGGGGAUGCCAAAUAUUUCUGCAGCACGGGCAAUGUACAUUUCAUACAUGCUCAAUUUAUCAUGGUUUGGAACAGCCUUAGUUGCUUCAUCAUAGAUCUUCAUAGCGCGCUUUGCUAGACCAUAAUCCUCCUCCAGAUUUGCAAAUUGAAGAUACAAAGGUUUCUUUGCAUCAGCAGGCGCUGCUUGAACAGCAUCCUCAAAUAGCUGUCUUGCACGUUCCAGUUCUUUCUUCCCAUAUCUCUUUACAAAUUUAGAGAGAUAUGUAACCCAUAUGUCUUUGACAUGUGGGUACUUAAAUAUUUUGGUACCUUUUUCAUACACCUUGAACGCAUCUUCAAAGUAUUUAUGCUUCUCCAGAAGCAAUGCAUAAUUGAUUAUGAUUUGUGGUGUGGCUAUCUUCAAAUCCAUUAUCCUCUCAUAAACAGCCCGGGUGGACUCCAAUUUACCAAGGCUCUCCUCUAAAUCCACGUAAAAAGUCCACAUUCUCAAGGACUUUUGCAGCUUCAUCUGAACCGGUUGGUUACCAUCAGCCGCCACUCUGCGUUUCACCUCAACGGAUGGCUCUGCGGUGGCCAGCCUCAUUAGUUCCAGUGCUCCUUUGAAAUUCUUAUGCCUCAAUUCCAUUUCUGCCCACUCACACCAAAGACUAGCCAAAUAAUCCACUGUCUUGUAGUUCACCUGAACUGCUUUAUCAAAAAUCACUCUUGCAUUUGCAAUAUCUUUGUGAUUCUCGUACAACUUAGCAAACGCAACCCACAACGUAUGAGGCUUUCCCACUGCUUUCAUUGGAUCAACCGUCCUCACAGCCUCUGUGUAAGUAAGUAUCUGCUUUGUGGGAUUACCCUCAAAGAGCUUCACUCUUUGGUGCCACUGCUCUACAUUAUGGGGAUUUUGUCGUAAAAGAACACUAUUAGCCAGUAUAGGACUUCUAUCCAUAAGAUGCUCCAAUCGAGCCAACCUCAAAUCUACGUCCUUAUCAUCAUGUAACCAAAACCCAUUAAGCAUUUCCUUCUCAAGCUCAGCCACAGACAAGUUAACAUCCAAUCGAAGAUCAACUUCCUCCUCAUUUCCAUCCUCUUCUACCCCAUUUUCUUCUUCCUCCUCUUCAUCACUCAAAUCCGCAGUCUCCAUCUUAUGGAUAAGCAUGCUAUCUUCAAACCCAACAUACGAAUCGAAAAUUACACUAAAAUCUCUUACCGUUACCACAGUAGUCAUACCCUCCUCAAAUAUAUCCCUAGCUUUCUCGUGCAAAUUCCUCCUAAUGUAAUAGUCAGCAAGUGAGGUCCACAACCGUCCCACCUCGUCUGUAAAUUUCCUAAUCCCACCUCUAAUAAUAGCAUCUACAUUGAGGCCUGACACCUCCUUAGCGUGCUUAGCAAGCAAAUCACACAAUUCCAACCACAGCCUAUGUUUCGUUUUCCCCUUUAUCGAAUAGAACUGGUCAUCAUUCAACACUGAAGCCAGCCUCUCGGCAGCCUCUUGCCAAAGACUAGAAUUUAUCAAGAACUCAAUGAAUUUUUCAAUAUGGGUAGGGUCAUAUUUCAAAUACCUGCGAUAAAGCCGAAGCGAGGUCUCAAUUGGAAUACCCUUUCGGCUCACGAACUCCAGGUACGGGUCCCAAAUGCCGUCGUGCUGCGUCACUGGAAGAGCACACAGCGCUCUGUCGAAGGUCCGGCGAGUCCGAGUGAACAACUUCUGCUCCGUCAAAGUUUGCAAGUACCGAAUCCAAAUUUUGGGCAUUUUGUGCAUAGUAACCAGGGCUCUUUCAAAAGUGUUGUUGAGGGUUUCAUACUGGAAGUGAGUGAUGGGUAAAUUGCGAACGAGCUCGAGGCGUUCGUGAAGGUAAGCGGACCAAAGCUUGUAGCUCCCAGGAAGGGCCUUGAGUGCUCGCUCGUAGAUUAUAAAACGCUUCUUGAAUGGAGAUUCGGAUCGAGCGAUUAGGUAACGCCACCAUACCUUCAGGCUAAAGGGGUUUCGGAGAAGCUCUUCUUCGUAAAGAAGGUCGUCUUGGGAUGGGUAAAGCUCUUGAGAGAUCGACAUAUGAAGUUGAAUAAUCGGGAAUUUUCUAUGUAUUCGGAGGCCAUAUAUAUAAUACACUCCUCCUAAGCCAAGUCAAAAUAUAAUUCCUAAUUCUAAUUAGGGUAGGAAAUUAAAAGUAGAUAGAUAAAUUACAGUCAAUUUGGGAAAGUAAGGUCAACUCAAAGCUAAACUCUCUUUUCAAGUUGGUGCAUAGAUGUCUCUAAUGCUCAACUUGUCUAUAAGGCUCGUACUAAUUGGAAAAUAUGUGUUGCACUUGCAAGUAAUUAAGAGGUCCAGAAUAAGCAAGUUAGGAUGUGAAUUUAUUUAUUCAAAUAAGUGGUAUUUUUAGUCAAUUUGAAAUACUUAUAUAUGUAAUUUUAAAAAAUAAAUUUGAACUAAUGUGAAACUUGUACAUUAACCCAGACAUGAGCAUAGCUCUUGAGGCUGCAUUUGUUUUCUCUACUAAUUUGAAAGAUAUGAUUUCAACUAUAUAGAGCCUAAUUUUCACCAUAGGGUAUCAAAUGGACAAAUCUCAUCCAGGCAAUCAACUAGGUACUAGCAGACAAGUUUUGUUUUUGCUACCAGCAUCUUCAAUGUAAAUUAUUUGUUUUGUAUCGUUCUAAUUUUAUCGGAUGCUUUUAAUUUUUAUUUUUUUUAAGAAAUUUAAAAUAUAAUGAUCCUAAAGGACAGGGAAAAAAGUAAGGUGACCUAAUCUUAAUCAUGAUUGAUGUCAACUAUUGGUUUAUUCUGUUUAGUCUUUUUGGUUGGGAGAAUGGUGAAUUCAUGCACAUAAAACAUAAACUAGUUUUCCUUCGGCAUGGUCAUUUUCAAAUGGAGGAAUGUUGCAUGAACCGGGCCUCUUUUUCUGAGCUCAAAGUCUAUGGGUAAAUAGUAGAUUUAAAAACCAAUCCACAUUCAAAAGUGCAGAGUAAAAAUUAGAGUUGCCAUUGCCUAUCUACUAAUAGGUAGAAAGGAUAUUAGGUUUAUUUAUUUAUUUUUCUUUUGGUAACUAAUGAGGUAGGAAGGGAAAGGGAGCCUGGUGGUAUAUAAUAUAUAUGCUCUCUACCAUUUAAAAUCUCCAGAAAAUAUUAGAAUUUAAUUCAAUAGUUUCUAAUUACCUUUUUUUUUUCCCCCUUUUUUCCUUGUUCAUUUUUUCAUAUUUUGCUCUAUUUAUGAACAUUGCUUAGAGAUGCAGAAGGCUUUGGUUUGAUUAAGGUUCCCAGAAUGCUUGCAGGCAUCCCAAAAGGCAUGUUUUCUUUAGGACCAGGUAUGAUCGAUUACAAUUGAUCACAACUAGUAUAACUAUAUAAAAAAAACAGUCAGAUGGUAUGUCAAUCACCCAAAUCUUAAAGCCAUCUUGUGGAAAUAGUUACUAUAACAAUACCAUAAAAAACAGUAGGGCAUAUUUAACAGCAAUUCAUUUUGCAGAAAAAGCACAGAAAACAUUGAUCCAAUUUCAAAAACUUUGAGAGCUACAAUCGCUUCUAUACACACACUUGAGACCUACAUUACAAGUAGCACCUGAGGAUUCUGAUUACGCGACGAGUACAAGCCAAAUGAAGAUUCAAUCCUCAAGCCAAAAACACAUGGAAUCAAUAGGCUUAAUCCACCGGAGGAAUUUACCUCAAUACACUACAUGGAUCAUGGAUUAUGGAGGCUGUUGCUGUUGUACAUUCCAUACAUUACACUCCCACUUCUCAACUGCAAAAUAUUUUAUACCAUUCAAACAGCUGCAAGAUUGUUAUUGGGGGUGGAGGUUGGCAAAAAGAGAUGAUGAAGAAAUAAAGUGUACCCGCUCAACAGCAUUUGCCAUGCCCGACACAUCUAGCCUUUCUUUCUUUAAAAGCUCUACACGAUCCCGAAGACACUGAUUCUGUUCUUCAGCCUACAUUUGGGGAGGAAAAAAAUUAAAAAAAAUUAAAAAAUUAAAAAAGAAAAAGAAGAAGCAAACACUCGUAUUACGUUACAAUUAAAUAAACGUUCCUUUUAAAAUGUGAGAGAAUAAAUUCAAUGAGAUAAUGCAUGCUUUGGAAGUGAAGGAAUUUGUCUGGAGAGGAUUUCACAUCAACAAUAAACCAGAUGUGUGUGCGCAGUUGUGAGAGAGAGAGAUGUUCAAAUUUGAUUAACCAUCAACCCCAUAAAAAGUUUCUGGACAGCCAAACGAGUAGAAACUAGGAAAAGUUACCAUACUACAAGCUAAGGGGAAAACAUCAGUGAAUCAAUGCUCUUCAAUUAAAAACCCAUGCACUAAUUGACAGACCUUUAAGGAUGGUCUAACUGCAGAAGUUAACAGUGUCAGAAAGUUAGGGGAAAUACAACACAGGUAUCAAUGUAACAGCAUCUUUGACCUAAGUGGCCAAGUACUACAUCAUCUGAGGAUAUGUAUGCAUACACUCGUGUAAACAAUUUCACAUCUUAGACUAAUAUCAUUGAAACAAUAAAGCUUAAAAGGGUCGACCUUGUAUUGGCUGGCUCCUUUUUAAUUUCAGACCGCCCACAGCUUUGAGUACCCAGUACAUAUUGUUUAUCAACUUACCAGAACACUUUUUCCCAGUAAGAAUUUCUUCCAUGCGUAUCCCAGCUACAUACUUGUUUUAUGCACAAAUGAUAGGGUGAAAACCCUUGACUAGUAAAAGUGCUUGGUAACUGUUCCACAGGGCAUAUCCUAUUACCUGGGAUUUAAUCUCGCCUUUAUAGGAUUUGGGGUUUUACUCAGUGUCGGCUGAUAUGCCCAGUGGAACUCCAAUUGAUCUCAAUGAACCAGACAGAUGUGAGACCCUAGCACUCUUGAAUUCUAGAACACAAUAUAUAUACUCAGUGUGUGUAUAAAUGUUGGACAAUUCCCUGUGUCGACUGAUAUGCCCAGUGGAACUCCAAUUGAUCUCAAUGAACCAGACAGAUGUGAGACCCUAGUACUCUUGAAUUCUAGAACACAAUAUAUAUACUCAGUGUGUGUAUAAAUGUUGGACAAUUCCCUAAAAACUAGAUGAUAUCAUCUCUACCAAGCAGCUUUUAAUUGGAGUUUAAGUUUGAAUAUAUCUACCGUUUCCAGCAUCUUUGUCAAGUACUGGAUUUGAUCCUUCUUCAUUGUGGACAGAUCAUGAGCAACAUCCAUUACAUUAGUCCUGCAUGAAUACACAUGUUUAAACAAUGAAGUUUACACUAAUAGGCACUGUAAGAGAUAAUAUGAAAUGUAACUAUAUAGAUUAAGAUGGAUACUAUCAAGAUAAGGCUCCCUUCCACCAUAGUACCAAAACAAAAGUGGAUAAGACCACCUCUUGGACGGUUUUCAGGCACUGUUAGAGUAGUGGGGGCAAUUGGGGAGGUGGGGGGAUGUAUGUACAGAACCUCUACAACUUCAACAAUGGAAGUAAACACAAGGGCCUUUAUUAUACACUCUUGUAAGCUUCAUUAGUUACCAAAGCAAAUGAACACUAGCCUAAACAAAAGGGCCUUUAUUAUACACUCUUGUCUUCCCCCUUGCAUUCAUAUGUUCUGCAUGAACAUAUGUAUCUUGUACUUACCAUUCUAUUGAAACAUGAUGGCAUGUGUUGCAUUACAUUUAGGAUGAGUUAUGAAUCUUGGCAAUUUUAACAGUCAACCAACACUCAGUUUCUUUUUCUUUUAUAUUUUUUUUUUUUGGUCCAAGGAAAGGAGUUACUAAAAGGCCAUAUAUUCAUUUUGUCAAGAAAUCAAGAAAAUACUUACUUAUCUGAAAACAAACGAUCCAGAGCUUGUUCUUCCACAAGUUGUUCAACAGUAUCAAGAGCAGUUCCCACCUGCAAGCAGAGAGAGACUAUACAUAACAAGAAAAUAUAUUGGAUGCAAAGAAUAAAUAAAACGAUGAUGUAUAAUAUAUAAUGUAUAUUAGAAGUUAGAACCAAGAGGAUCUUGAACUAAUAGUUAGGUAAAAAAGAAAAAAAAAACAUCGGAGCAGGGUUAGUUUGCUUAUUAAUUCUAUUUGUAAACUGUAUACAAGCAUGCAAGGCACAUCAUACAGCCAUAAAUGCUAUCGUUUUCACUCAGCAGUAAUCAUCUGAAGAUUCCAUCUGUUAGACAUGUGAUUCCUUUAGGAUUGUAAUAAUGUCUAAAUCAGUAAGAACCAGAGGUACUUCUUGUUGCCUGCAUAAAACAUGAAUGAGUUGGGUCUUAGGAAUCAUCAUUAGCCACCACUAGUUCCCUCUCGUCAUGGAACCUCUAAUUGAAUCAACUAUUACUCCAUUUUCGGAAAUUACUUAAAAACAUAAAUGAUCGAAAAAAUGUCAUCAUUUCACUGGACAUGGGUAUGAGCCUAUUUAUACACGAGGCUUCAAAUUACACAACACAAGGGCCCAGCAUAUGCAUGUUGACACAAAUUACUAAAUGUUUCUUUGAAAACUAAUAAAAUUCUAAAACUUAUCCCAUGUUUUUCCUAAUCAUGGUAAAUCCUACUUCUAUCCUUUCAGUCCUUGGUAUUCCUCUUUUUACUAAAAUUUUCAUCUGCAGUGCCUUCUGGUAUCAGAAUUUGCCCGAAUUUUAAUGACUUGCUCUAAAACCAGUUCAUCAUCUUUUUCCUUUUUUUUAAUCCAUAAUAGUUUUGUAUAAAUAUAUCAAGAAUAUCACGGGUCAGCUAGGUGUCUAAGCAUGUCUUAAUGUAUUCAUUUCCAAAAUAGGUCUAACUAAACGACCGUCUAAUGCAUAACCAUAUUUUCUUUGCUAAAAUCGCAUUAAUUGGUGGCAGUCAGUCAGCCAGUGGAAUGAACAUUUCUUGUUAAGUAACUCUACAAUAAAGCUGCAAUUACAUUAACACAAACUCCAUGUAAAAGAAAUUCAUUACUAAGGUAUAAAUUAAGACUCAAAUAAAACAACUAUCAGACCCAACUAGAACUCUUUUAUGACAACCAGAAGGCUAUUUACACGAGAAAAUAUGCAUCGUGCAUUAAAGUGACCUCCCUCACUUAAAACUCACUCUCUCUAAUUUCAGAAAUAACUUGUAAGCUAAUUACACAGAAGAAUCUACAUAAGUUGUUAAAUGGAAUAACUGUGCAUUAAUGGCAUCACAAAAUAUUGAUUUGUAUACCUGUGUUUCAAGGCAUACUGACUGAAACUCAUCCUGUAAAAUUAAAAAGGACAAAUUCUUCAGAAUUCAGCUGAAAGCAUUAUAAAAUACAUUAUCACAUAUAAAUACACAAAUAAAUACUCCUGAUGAGACCCCCAAAUGCACACCACCAUUCAACAUAUCAUUAAAUCCUUUGAUAAGAACAUUUAAGAAAUCAAGAGAAGAAAUGCAUUGUUAAUAUUGGCAAAUGGUAUGAAAUGAAUUACCUCUACAUUUCCAUGCAAAGAAGUGAUGACCUGAAAAUUUGUAUACGAUAUCAAUGAAAUGAGCAUUUGUUCUGAAUUUGAACUCAAAAAAGAGACCCUCUAUCCAAAUCUCUGCUUACAAAGUGCAGAGAAAUAAACAAAAUGUCUACAUCGAUUAUUAAAUGACAUUAUCUGUACCUGAAUAAACAUCCUAUGAAGACGCUCUUGCUCGGCAGUUGUAAAAUUCGGAAAUGCUUGGCAAAAUUCCUUUUGUGUUCAUCAUAAAAAAAAGUUAGUCAAUUGAAUCUGGAGGAAGAAAUGCAUAAAUUCGAAAGAAUAAAAUAAAAUUUCCAGACACAAUGAAAUGGGUAUCUUUUGACUUUGAAAUGGCAAUUGAGCAAACCAAUUUCUAAAGAAGAUGAAAUUGUAAGUAAAGAAACCUGCUUAGAACAGGGAGUGAGCAGGGAACGAAUGCAGAACUUGAAGGAUUUCUUCAUCUCCAUAUGCCUCGUCCCCAUCGCAGACACAAAAGAUUCUGAUUUUUUAUAGAGAUACUACAGAAAGAUUUAAGAUCCACACAAGACCAGAGUGAUUCAACACAACAUUCAAAACUAAGUAAACCGUGCAUCGUGAAAUUAGGGUUUACUAGAAUCCAGAAAUUGAAGUGAAAUCUAAAGAAAAUAAAGAGGGAAAUGUAUACCAGCAGAAAUUGAAGUGCCUACGGUAUCUUCUUCUUGUAGAUGCAGAUGUCGUGGUCCGGCUCGUGAAGACUCCCAAAGAUAGUGAGUGAAAUUUGAGAACAAACAAAAGGAAAAUAGAAAGAGAGGGAAAUUUGAAUGCUAGCUAUUUUUGUGGGUUUGAAAUGAAUAAUAAGAAAUGCUAAAAAUAUGAGGCUAAGUCAAUAAUAAGUAUUAUAUAAAGAAAUAAGUGAAUCUUGAAUUAACAAGCGCAUCUGGUGUAGUGGUAUCAUAGUACCCUCCCACGGUACUGACCAGGGUUCGAUUCCCUGGAUGCGCAUUUCACUCUUUUAGCAUUUUUCAAUUUUAUGAUUUAAGUCUCACACCUUACUCUCCGUUAUAACUCAGAAUUUAACUAAAAGUCGAGAGCGCCAAACUUAAAAACAGCACCAAAAACCUAUGAAACCCUGGACAACAAAUUCCCUUGUCGCUUUAUAAACAAAAGCGCUGCGAACCAGAGAAAUAAGGAGAAGGAGUUCUUCUUGGGUUACACAUCUCUUUGGAUCAAGUUUGAAGGUUAGUCUUCAAGCCUUUCUCUCCUUCAAUUUAUAUUUUUCUAGUUUAGGGUUACCAUGGUUUCUAAAUGGCUAUCAAAAUUGGGUAUUUCUGACUAAAUUUAUGAACGUAUUGAAUGGGUUUUGUGAUCUUUGCAGCACUAUGGCUGGGUUUUGGGAAAUCUUAACAAAACACUCUAUGCCCAUGGAUAUUGGUGUGUGAUUUGUGUUUAUGGUACAGUUCUGUAGUUGCUUUGUUAACUUUAUCACUUUGAAUUAGCUAAUAUACUUCACGAGGAGCGCAACUUAGGUCACAAAGGAGAUGGUGGAUGGAAGGCAGUUGCUUGCAAUACUGCUGAAAAUAUAUUAGCUGCACAAUUUAAUCUCCAGAUAAGUGCUAAUAAUAUUAGAAAUCGUGUUAAGUCAUGGAAAAAGUUCUAUAGAGUAGUGAGUGAUAUAUUAAGUCAAAGUGGAUUCAAUUGGGAUUCAACAAAAAAAGAUAAUAAGUGUAGAUGAAGAUCAUGUUUGGGAAGAUAUGUGAAGGUAAAUGUAUAUAUAUAUAUAUAUAUAUUAAAUUUAUCACGUGCUUUUUUGUUGUUGUUGUUGUUGUUAAAGAGUACUUUUAAGAUUCUUAUUUGACUUUGAUUAUUUGUUUGGUAGUCUCAUGACGAUGCUAGAGGUUUUCGAUUUAAAGUUAUAGAAAAUUGGGAUGAUAUAGUAGAUUUGUGUGGCAAAGAUAGAGCCACUAGAGAGGGCGCUGAAACAGAUGCAUAUGCAACUGAGGUUAUGACUCCUACUAAUGAAGUUGAUCAUAUUGAUUUAGAUGGUGAUACACAAGGUUAUGACUCCUACCAAAAGAUGUUGGUUGAAUCAUACAAAGGACAAGCUACCAAAAUUGCUAUGUAAAAAUUGUGGUGGUAUCAAAUCCCAUAUAAAGCAUGAGAAUGGCCACUUUUGAUAAUCAUUUCAAUUUUAGUUUUUUUUUUUUUUUUUGGGGUACUAGAGUAUAGAGGAAAAUGAGAGUGAGAAUGGGGGUGAGAGUGAGAUUGAGAGAUAGGAUGAGAAGGGGGGAUGAGAGAAGGCAUAACAAAAGUGAAAGCAAAAUCUUGAAAAUAAAAUAGUUUGAAAUAGAUUUCCGUUUUUAGUUUUUGUUUUCGCUGUUGUUACUCCUCCCUCUCAUCCUCUCAUCUCGUCUUCACUCUCAAUCUCAUCUCCACUCUUAUUCUCACUUCCAUUCUCCCUCUUUUUCCUCUAUACUCUAGCACAAAAAAUGAAA
RNAcentral lists this long non-coding RNA (16386 nucleotides) under Prunus persica (peach). RNAcentral's name for it is "long non-coding RNA (PPER_LNC005042)". The stretch from base 14826 to 14896 matches the Rfam family "tRNA". Lineage: Eukaryota; Viridiplantae; Streptophyta; Magnoliopsida; Rosales; Rosaceae. The record is from RNAcentral.